Molecule: RNA transcript, 4363 nt
Organism: Mustela lutreola (European mink)
Lineage: Eukaryota; Metazoa; Chordata; Mammalia; Carnivora; Mustelidae
Gene: MINDY4
Gene name: MINDY lysine 48 deubiquitinase 4
Exons: 23
Source: RefSeq, a predicted model, not a curated record
AGCUCUCCCGGCUCCGGUGACACCGUCACCAAGGCAACGCGGCCAUACUGGCCCCAACGGACCUGGGGGCUGCGGCGGCGCGGCCUCGUGGGCAGAGCCGGCGGCAUGGACAGCCUCUUCGUGGAGGAGGUGGCAGCCUCCCUGGUCCGGGAGUUCCUCAGCAGAAAGGGCUUAAAGAAGACAUGUGUGACCAUGGACCAGGAACGCCCACGCUCUGACCUCAGCAUAAACAGCAGAAAUGAUCUCCGCAAGGUUUUGCAUCUUGAAUUUCUCUACAAGGAGAACAAGGCCAAGGACAAUCCUCUAAAAACAAACCUUGAACUCAUUACCAGAUACUUUCUGGAUCACUUUGGAAAUACUACUAACAAUUUCACUCAAGAAGUGCCAAUCCCUGCACUCCCAGUUCCAAAGAAAAAUAACAGAUUAUCAUCAAGAUGCCCAGAGACCACACUGGUCAAUAUAUAUGACCUUGCGGACGAAGAUGCGACAUGGAAAUCGUCACUGUCAGAAACCAGCAAAGCCAGGCAUGAUAAUCUUGAUGGGGAUUUACUUGGUAAUUUUAUAUCAUCCAAAAGGCCUCCCCACAAAAGUAAGCCCAUGCAGGCUAUCCCAGGUGAAAGCCCUGCCGUGGCCCCUGCAUGGGAGAAGAUGGACAAGCUUCAGUCGUCAGAGCCUUCCUUGGACACAAAGAGAAUGGGUGAGAAGAUCAGGUCGAAGUCUGGCCUGAUCGUCCGAGGCAUGAUGGCAGGGCCCAUCGCCAGUUCCCCGCAGGAUGCCCUCCGCAGACGCUCCUUGAGGCGGUCCUCAGCCUUGAGCAGCACGAAGCAGCCCUCCGAGGAAGAGAGCCGGAAAGUGCCCGAGCUUUCUGCCCAUGCCCCAGCCUGUCCCAUAGCUCAGGAGGGCCCGGCUUCCAGCCCUGGCUCCAUUUCCAGGAGCCCCCUGGGCCCGCUCAGUGAGCUGACCUCAGAAAAGUGGAGAACCACGCCCAGCAGCCCCCCUCACUUGUCUGGCAAGGGGCUGCUGCGGAGGGGGAGCAGCAGGCGGCGAGAUCUCGAGGAAGAUAGCCCGGCUGUGGACAGUGGCCCAGAGGCCGACGGGAUGCCCUUGAAGUUCUCCUUGCCAGGUGGGAGUGCCAGGCCAACCCAGGAGAGGCUGGAAAGAACAUUCAUCAGGCAAGGGAGCCAGCCCCUGCCCCUCAGGAAAAAUCAGUUGCCAGCGUCCAACAAGGCUGAUGGCGAACUGAGUGUCCUCCAACUUGAGGAUGUGGAGGAUGAAUUGAUAAAGGAAGAAGUAAUCCUGCCUCCAGUCCCAUUGAUGCUCAAGCUGCAAAUAGUGUCAAAGCCAAUCGACCUCUCAGUGGCCAAGGACAUAAAGGCCCUUCUGUUUGGCUCCAGCCUUUGCUGUUUCAACGAGGAAUGGAAGCUUCAGAGUUUUUCCUUUAGUGACAAAGCCUCAUUAAGAUACGGCAUCGUGCAGAACAAGGGGGGUCCCUGCGGUGUUCUGGCAGCUGUCCAAGGCUGUGUCCUACAAAAACUCCUGUUUGAAGGAGAUAGUGAAGCUGACUGCGUUCGGCAGCUGCAGCCUUCCAAUGCCCGCAGGAGUCACUGCCUUGCCUUGGCCAUCGCGGACAUCGUGUGGCGGGCCGGGGGCCGGGAAAGAGCCGUGGUCACACUGGCUUCGGGAACACAGCAGUUCAGUCCAACAGGGAAAUACAAAGCAGAUGGAGUCUUAGAAACACUCACGCUGCACAGUUUGACCUGCUAUGAGGAGUUGGUGACUUUUCUCCAACAAAGCAUCCAUCAGUUCGAAGUGGGUCCCUACGGAUGCAUCCUCCUCACGGUGUCUGCCAUCCUGUCCAGGUCCACGGAGCUUGUCCGCCAGGACUUCGAUGUCCCCACCAGCCACCUGAUUGGAGCACACGGAUACUGCACCCAGGAACUCGUCAAUCUGCUCCUGACCGGGAAAGCCGUGUCCAAUGUUUUCAACGACGUCGUGGAGCUGGAUUCUGGGAACGGGAACAUCACUCUGCUCAAGGGCAUUGGUGCGCGCAGUGACGUCGGGUUCUUAUCUCUCUUCGAGCACUACAACGUGUGCCAGGUGGGCUGUUUCCUGAAGACGCCGAGGUUCCCCAUCUGGGUGGUGUGCAGCGAGAGCCACUUCAGCGUCCUCUUCAGCCUGCAGCCAGAGCUCCUGCGGGACUGGAGGGCCGAGAGGCUCUUCGACCUGUACUAUUACGAUGGCCUGGCCAACCAGCAGGAGCAGAUCCGGCUGACCGUUGACACCACCCAGACCAUCCCUGAGGACAGAGACAAUGACCUCGUCCCACCCAUCGAGCUCUGCAUCAGAACCAGGUGGAAGGGGGCAGCGGUGAACUGGAACGGCUCAGACCCCAUCUUGUGACCCUUCCUGUGGAAGCCAAGAUGCAGGUGCAUGCAUGGUUUGACACCCCGUGCCUGGGGUUUCCUGGGACACAAGACAAGCAAAGCCGCAGCACCACCAUCUCCCAGGUCUGGAAGUGAGAAGACCCACAGCACGGCCACCACCUCUGCAAGAAUGAACCAGAGGCGAGUGCCUCCCUGCUGGUGGCUCUUCUCCACCGGAGGCACAGAGUUUUCUAAAGAGACUGUGGGUUCUUUGUGGCAGUGGCACAGUAAGAAGAGCAGCUUCCAGAAGAACCACAAGGAUUCCCUGGGGGUCAGAGCUGGGCCAAGGCUUUGUGGGGGCCCCGUGGAUGAUCCUCUCUGGUCACGGAGCCCUUUUGGGAGCCUAACCUUGCAGGAGGCCAUCAAACUGCCAAGCCUAUUUGCAGCCGCCUCUAGUGCUCUGCCUCCCUUCAGGACAGCCUGAGAGAUUCUGGAAGAUUUGUCCAGCAUGCUGCCUGAGGUCCUGAACCUUAACAUCCGUCUGAGGACCUGUGCACCCAGCUCUGGACAAAGCCUGAGGUUCUCCCACAGCAUCGGUGGGGCUAGAGUCCAGAUUGUCCUGGGAACAGCCAGCUCUGACUGGAAAGUGGGCCUCACUGGGCACGUCAGGAAUAAGGCACAUCUGGAAAACCAUUUUCUGAGACCGUUGCUCUGGGAGGGCCAGACAGUGCCCGGGACUGAGUGGCUUCAGGCCCCGCCCAGGACUCAGGAGUCGGGAGGGGGGGGAGGGCAGUCCCCCUUAUUUAGCCUGGCUCAGGCCUGUGGGAUCAGGCCUGGGCCCAUGCCACUGGCCAUGGGAGGGAGGGACUCGGUUGCUCACCGAGUCAGGUCACCCUGGAGGAGGAGCAGGUCAGGGGGCGGCACCCUGCCCCAGAGCCCAAGCUCCCGGGGCUGGUGGGACUACACGGGGUGAGGGCGUAGCUCUGGCCUUCCCUGGCUUCCCUGUGCGUCCACUCUCAGCUCAAUGCUUCCUUCCCCAUCUGCCCCUCAUCCCACCCCAAUUAUACAGAGAAGUUGGGGACGGUCUUCUCAUUAUUACCCCCACGUCCCCGACCCGUCCUGGGGUCUGGAUCCCUCAGUCCUGUACUUGUAACUGGGCCAUCAAAACUCAGGAUUCCAUCUGGGAAACGGGGCCAUCAGGAGCCUUCCUUGACAGGCCGGCAGAGAACCAGACUGGGGUUCUGGGAAUUAGGGGGUCCUGAGUUCUAAUCCUAGUGCUGCCACCUUCUAGCAAAUCCCUUACCCUCGGAGCAUUCCAGGGUCGUGGCGGAGACAAGCCGUCAGCCAGGCACGGUUUCCUUUCUCCCCCCUUCCCUCCCCCUCUCCUCACCUCCCUUCCUUCCCUGCUUGGCCAGAAUUUGUGGCAGACCAGGGAGAAGAAGGUCAUGAGGUUCGUGGCCUUCCUGGAUCUGGGCUCCAGGGGCAGUCCUCUUCCUUUCACAUUGACAUUGUCAGGCCGAGGCUGCACAGGCCCCUUGGUAUUGUGGGAGAUGGUGGGUGAGUGAGGUGGGCCUUAUUCCAGAGAGGUCUGCCUUUGGAUGGUGUCUCCUGGUGAUGGCAGAGCCUUGCCCAAAGGAACAGAACAGUGGGCAGCAUGUAAGUCAGAAGCCAUGCUACUAGGGGGACAGGGUUUGGUGUCCGGGGUAUUGUCCUGAGGACCCUCACAUCAUCCUGACAUUGGUGGGUAGCUGAUUUGCUCUGGCCAAAGUGUUUUGCCUCCUCUGGGUCCCCUGGGUCCAACCCUGCUCCAGAAGCAUGUGGGCCUCUAGCAAGUAUGUGCUCCCCCCCGUGCCUGUGACAGUUGCAAGCGCCACCAGCCUGGGUGCACACACGGAGCCUACGGGAGGACAAGCAGCUAGGCUAUCUGGUUUGUGGCUGUCUCCCCAAAGAUAAGAACAGGAUGGCACAUGGCAUGCACCAAAUAAAUAUUUGGUGGACAA